Molecule: ribosomal RNA, 420 nt
Filed under: uncultured bacterium
Lineage: Bacteria
Description: bacterial SSU rRNA
Rfam family: Bacterial small subunit ribosomal RNA
Source: RNAcentral
UGAGGAAUAUUGCCCAAUGGCCGCAAGGCUGAAGCAGCAACGCCGCGUGAGGGAUGAAGGAUCUAUGGUCUGUAAACCUCUGUAGAUAAGGAAAAAUAAUCCAUUAAAUGGAGAUGAUAGUACUUAUAGAGUAAGCCCCGGCUAACUACGUGCCAGCAGCCGCGGUAAUACGUAGGGGGCGAGCGUUGUCCGGAAUCACUGGGUGUAAAGGGUGCUCAGGCGGGUCAGUAAGUCAGGGGUGAAAUUUCACAGCUUAACUGUGAAUGUGCUUUCGAUACUGCUGGUCUAGAGUUCAGGAGAGGGCAAUGGAAUUCUUGGUGUAGCGGUGAAAUGCGUAGAUAUCAAGAAGAACACCGGUUGCGAAGGCGGUUGCCUGGCCUGUAACUGACGCUCAAGCACGAAAGCGUGGGGAUCAAACAG